This 87-nucleotide non-coding RNA is filed under the name uncultured Phascolarctobacterium sp. RNAcentral's name for it is "Glycine riboswitch". It matches the Rfam family "Glycine riboswitch aptamer", at positions 9 to 86 of the family's 94-position model. From Rfam's summary of the family: This family represents the bacterial glycine riboswitch. Glycine riboswitches usually consist of two metabolite-binding aptamers domains with similar structures in tandem. The record is from RNAcentral. Lineage: Bacteria; Bacillati; Bacillota; Negativicutes; Acidaminococcales; Acidaminococcaceae.
ACACAACUCUGGAGAGUCCCUUAAAUGGGCGCCGAAGGUGCAAGCCUGCUUAAAGCAGGCCAAUCUCUCAGGCCAAUGGACGGAGCA